GAUGAACGCUGGCGGCGUGCCUAAUACAUGCAAGUCGAGCGAACGGACGAGAAGCUUGCUUCUCUGAUGUUAGCGGCGGACGGGUGAGUAACACGUGGAUAACCUACCUAUAAGACUGGGAUAACUUCGGGAAACCGGAGCUAAUACCGGAUAAUAUUUUGAACCGCAUGGUUCAAAAGUGAAAGACGGUCUUGCUGUCACUUAUAGAUGGAUCCGCGCUGCAUUAUCUAGUUGGUAAGGUAACGGCUUACCAAGGCAACGAUGCAUAGCCGACCUGAGAGGGUGAUCGGCCACACUGGAAUUGAGACACGGUCCAGACUCCUACGGGAGGCAGCAGUAGGGAAUCUUCCGCAAUGGGCGAAAGCCUGACGGAGCAACGCCGCGUGAGUGAUGAAGGUCUUCGGAUCGUAAAACUCUGUUAUUAGGGAAGAACAUAUGUGUAAGUAACUGUGCACAUCUUGACGGUACCUAAUCAGAAAGCCACGGCUAACUACGUG
This 497-nucleotide ribosomal RNA is filed under the name uncultured bacterium. RNAcentral's name for it is "partial 16S ribosomal RNA". It matches the Rfam family "Bacterial small subunit ribosomal RNA", at positions 28 to 507 of the family's 1533-position model. The record is from RNAcentral.